RNAcentral lists this long non-coding RNA (1009 nucleotides) under Piliocolobus tephrosceles (Ugandan red Colobus). RNAcentral's name for it is "lncRNA (ENSPTEG00000013213.1)". Lineage: Eukaryota; Metazoa; Chordata; Mammalia; Primates; Cercopithecidae. The record is from RNAcentral.
AAAUUUUACUAAGUGAAACAGAAACAAUAAUUGUGUUCAACAUACCCAAUUUAUUAAAUGACGUAGAAAAAGAAAAAGAAAUUAUUGAAAAAGCAAACGAACGAUAUGAAAAGUUGUUAAAAAAAUGAUGAAAGUAAUUAUGUUAAUAAGUCAAUGCAAACUUUAAAUAUUUUUAAAAAAAAUAAAGAUGUAUAUGUGUCUACUAUUAACAAACAAGAUAAAAGUUCUCAAACGAAUUUAUAUAAAUUGCAUAAAUUAAUUCUAAGGAACGCUUUAAACAAAUCCGAAGUGUUACACAAGGAGUUUUUAAAAUAUAGAAAUAAAAAAUUUAAAAGCAUUAUAGAAGAAUAUAAAGAAUCUUUAGAUGUUAAAGAACACAUGGUUUUAAAAAAGAAUAUGUGGGUUCAAGUCACUGAUAAAAGUAGUGCUGAAAAACAAUCAUCUGUUAUAAAUAAAUCUUAUUUUAAAUCUAAAAAAACAAACAGUAUAUAUAGUAAUUGGUUAUCAUCUAGAAACAUAUCUAGAACUUUAUCAAAUAAAAGUAGAACAUUUAGAAGUCGAAGUAAAAUGAAAAGUACAAAAUCGUUGAAAUUUUUAACAAACAGUCUGAGUGAUGACGAGUACUUAGUACGAUCUAUAAUUAAAAAGAAGAGAAAACAAACUGAUGAGAAUGAAUUGUUACAAAAUGUUGUAGAAGAGGAAAAUGAAGAAGAAAAUGUAUUACCAUGGAAAAUAAAUAAUAAAAAAAAAAAUAUUAAUACAUUAACAUUUAUAUUACUAUUAAGAGAUAUUGAAAAGUAUAUAGCACAAAACAUUUAUUAUUAUGAACAAUUAAUUUAUAAAAAUAUUUAUUUAAAUUAUAUUAAAGAAAAAAAGAUCGAUAUGUGUAACAAAAUAAAAAUAUUCGAUGGUGAAAAUUAUGAUCCUCUUACUAAUAAUAGUAUUAGUUAUAAAAAAAAAAAAUUAUUAUAAAAAUAAAAAUUCAAAAGAAUUUUAAAAAAUUAAUAAA